UACACACACGCUACAAUGGACCAACACAAUAGGUUGCUAAGCCGCGAGGUGGCGCCAAUCCAUAAAGUUAGGUCUCAGUUCAGAUUGUAGGCUGCAACCCGCCUGCAUGAAGAUGGAGUUGCUAGUAACCGCAGGUCAGCUAUACUGCGGUGAAUACGUUCCCGGGGCUU
This 170-nucleotide ribosomal RNA is filed under the name uncultured Leptolinea sp. Its description in RNAcentral is "partial 16S ribosomal RNA". It matches the Rfam family "Bacterial small subunit ribosomal RNA", at positions 1215 to 1382 of the family's 1533-position model. The record is from RNAcentral. Lineage: Bacteria; Bacillati; Chloroflexota; Anaerolineae; Anaerolineales; Anaerolineaceae.